AUACGGAGGGUGCAAGCGUUACUCGGAAUCACUGGGCGUAAAGCGCGCGCAGGCGGCUUGGUAAGUUGGAUGUGAAAGCCUACGGCUCAACCGUAGAACUGCAUCCAAAACUGCCAAGCUAGAGUGUGGGAGAGGAAGAUGGAAUUAGUUGUGUAGGGGUAAAAUCCGUAGAGAUAACUAGGAAUACCAAAAGCGAAGGCAAUCUUCUGGAACACUACUGACGCUGAGGCGCGAAAGCGUGGGGAGCAAACAGGAUUAGAAACCCUAGUAGUCC
This 274-nucleotide ribosomal RNA is filed under the name uncultured bacterium. Its description in RNAcentral is "partial 16S ribosomal RNA". It matches the Rfam family "Bacterial small subunit ribosomal RNA", at positions 523 to 796 of the family's 1533-position model. The record is from RNAcentral.